AGUGAACGCUGGCGGCGUGCCUAUACAUGCAAGUCGAACGUGAAAGUCCUUCGGGAUGAGUAAAGUGGCGCACGGGUGAGUAAUGGUUGAGAACGUGCCCUGAGGUGGGGAAUAACAGUUGGAAACGACUGCUAAUACCGCAUGGUGUCGCAAGACUAAAGGUGGGGAUCUUCGGACCUACCGCCACAGGAUCGGCUCAACUCCCAUUAGCUAGUUGGCAGGGUAAUGGCCUACCAAGGCGACGAUGGGUAUCUGGUCUUAGAGGAUGAUCAGACACACUGGAACUGAGACACGGUCCAGACUCCUACGGGAGGCAGCAGUAGGGAAUAUUGCACAAUGGAGGAAACUCUGAUGCAGCAACGCCGCGUGAGUGAAGAAGGCCCUUGGGUCGUAAAGCUCUUUAGCCUGGAAAGAAGUGCCUGUAGGUGAACAAUCUGCGGGUGUGACGGUACCAGGAGAAUAAGGACCGG
Molecule: ribosomal RNA, 470 nt
Filed under: uncultured bacterium
Lineage: Bacteria
Description: partial 16S ribosomal RNA
Rfam family: Bacterial small subunit ribosomal RNA
Source: RNAcentral